This 297-nucleotide long non-coding RNA is filed under the name Drosophila guanche. The record is from RNAcentral. Lineage: Eukaryota; Metazoa; Arthropoda; Insecta; Diptera; Drosophilidae.
CAAACGAACAGAAAAUAACAAGGAAAAAAAAUGUCCGUGCCCUUAGGUUUUUUUAUGUACAGACGUUGUUAAAAUUUUUGUCAAUCCCCAGUAAUUCGUAAUCGUGUAAAGAGCGACGAAAAAAAGCGCCAGAAAAACUAAAAAAUAGUUGGAGAAUGAGAAACAAAUGAUUUAAGAGAAAUACACAAUUUACUGAGUUUUGCUGAUAAUGCGUAACCGCAUGACAAACAAUUAUUAUUAUAUUUCAUUGAAAUAAUAAAAAAUCCAAUUGUUUCUAAAAUUCGUGUAACAAAACAC